AUGGAUAUUUUCCGACUGGAGUCUCGCGUUGCAGCUGUCGUGGACUAUCUCGCAAGGCUGAAGGCCGCCACAUCUCGCAUCGACUCGACGCUCUGGCCUGAGGAGACACUUCAGAAUGACCUUGAGUCACUGAUGGCCCGCUUGAACACGAUCCCUGGUCGAGUGCAGGAGUGGAAGAAGUCCUCGGCUCGGUGUGGUGCAGAUGUCGCUCUGUGUCUGCCCCGAGUCCACUGCAAAGAUGCACGAGAGGAGAAGCUGGCGGCCCUUCGGGUGGCCAAUACUAAGAAGCACGACUUCAGGUCCUUUAUGGAGACUUUCCUUGCAGCUGCCACUCGGAUCGCCGACGGAAUUGACCUUGAUGAAUUUGUUGCACCUUCCAGCCCUCCACAGGAGGGGUAA
Molecule: ribosomal RNA, 399 nt
Filed under: Triticum aestivum (bread wheat)
Lineage: Eukaryota; Viridiplantae; Streptophyta; Magnoliopsida; Poales; Poaceae
Description: partial small subunit ribosomal RNA
Source: RNAcentral